CGCGUAGGCGGGACCGUAUGUCAGAGGUGAAAUCCUCCGGCCCAACCGGAGAACUGCCUUUGAAACUGCGGUUCUUGAGCGAAGCAGGGGGGAGUGGAACUCUCGGUGGAGCGGUGGAAUGCGUUGAUAUCGAGGGGAACGUCGGUGGCGAAGGCGACUCCCUAUGCUUCUGCUGACGCUGAAGUGCGAAAGCCAGGGGAGCGAACG
Molecule: ribosomal RNA, 207 nt
Filed under: uncultured bacterium
Lineage: Bacteria
Description: partial 16S ribosomal RNA
Rfam family: Bacterial small subunit ribosomal RNA
Source: RNAcentral